CCCUUAGACGUUCUGGGCCGCACGCGUGCUACACUGAGUGGAUCAGCGGGUCAGGUUGCGCGAAAGUGUUUCCUAAUCUUGAAAUCCGCUCGUGAUGGGGAUUGACGGUUGCAAUUUUCUGUCAUGAACGAGGAAUACCUUGUAAGCGCGGGUCAUCAUCCCGCGCUGAAUACGUCCCUGCCCUUUGUACACACCGCCCGUCGCUCCUACCGAUUGAGUGGUCCGGUGAGGCUUUGGGAUCUGGAUGGAAAGAGCGUUUCGCUGUUUCUGCCCGGAAAACUCAGUCGAACCUUAUCAUUUAGAGGAAGGAGAAGUCGUAACA
Molecule: ribosomal RNA, 322 nt
Filed under: uncultured eukaryote
Lineage: Eukaryota
Description: partial 18S ribosomal RNA
Rfam family: Eukaryotic small subunit ribosomal RNA
Source: RNAcentral